RNAcentral lists this ribosomal RNA (209 nucleotides) under uncultured prokaryote. Its description in RNAcentral is "partial 16S ribosomal RNA". It matches the Rfam family "Bacterial small subunit ribosomal RNA", at positions 524 to 732 of the family's 1533-position model. The record is from RNAcentral.
GACAGGGGAUGCAAGCGUUAUCCGGAAUGAUUGGGCGUAAAGCGUCUGUAGGUGGCUUUUUAAGUCUGCUGUCAAAUCCCAGGGCUUAACCCUGGACAGGCGGUGGAAACUACCAAGCUGGAGUACGGUAGGGGCAGAGGGGAUUUUCGGUGGAGCGGUGAAAUGCGUAGAGAUCGGGAGGAACACCGGUGGCGAAAGCGGCGCGCUGG